Molecule: long non-coding RNA, 2523 nt
Organism: Chinchilla lanigera (long-tailed chinchilla)
Lineage: Eukaryota; Metazoa; Chordata; Mammalia; Rodentia; Chinchillidae
Exons: 6
Source: RefSeq, a predicted model, not a curated record
UGGGAAUAGAGGGGGAUUAGCCAAGAGAUGGGACCUGUGUGCCCACACUUAAUGCCGAUAAUGGGACUCUUGGGGAACACAGUGGACAUCUAAGCCACUCUCUCCACCCCUCUCUUCUUCAUUUCUCUUUGGAGGUGACACUUCCUCUGGUUCUUUCCUCCUUAGGAAAGCAAGGGAGGGAGAAUACACCUGGAAUGGUGGGGUGUUGGUGCAUGCUCACGGUGCACUUCCCAGCUGCGUGACUUCAAGGGAUUUAUCAUCUUCACCACUCUUUUUCCUUGGGCAGGGGCUUCCUAUUUACUUACUUUUGAAAGUUUACUUUCGUAAAAUACAGAUAGCAUUUACUACCUGGGCCACAUUUCAAGAAUACAGUUGGGUAUUGCUUAGUACAUUCACACUGCUGCACAUCCGCUCUCUAGCACUCUUUCUGAACGACUGAACUCUAUACUCAUUAAACGAAAAUUCUCCAUUUAGGGAUUUUCUCUGUCUUGUCCAGAAGUAAAUUUCCAAUGCCUAGAACAGUUCCUGGCAUGUGGUAGAUGUUCAAAAUAUAUUUACUGAAGGGACGAAGAAGGCUCUCUCAACCUUAGAUACCCAAGGGGUUGUGGUAGGGAUUAAGAAAAUGAUAAACAUCUGGCCCUAGACUGCUCCAUAGUACAUGGCCCUGAAGUGUUAACAGCUUAGGAUCAUGUCAGGUGUGUGUUUGGCUAAGGCCCUCCAGACAGGCCUGUACUGGGCACUCGGUUAAGGCGUUCCCAGAUGUUUGCCAGGGUAUCCUCUGACUGCAAAGAGCAAAGAUGCCUCUCCAAGAUUCCUGGAGCAGUGGUUUUCCAGUCUGGCUUAUAUGGCCACUCUGCCUAUACUCCCCACCUAGUCCUUUUCCUACUUAAACAUCCUUAAAUGGACCAGCAUUUUGGCGACACGGAGUAGACAGCCUCCGCAGCAGAGCUCGCCUUGGAGGAGUCGCACGAGGAGCUCGGGUCCGGCCUGAGCUGCGAGCGCCCGGGUGCAGAGGGCGCGCCACUCCAGCGUCCAGGAUCGCUGACGUUCUGCCCUGAGGAAGGUGAGGCUAGGAUCUGACGCCGUGAGGCUAGAGGGAAUGCCUACUCGGUCCGGGGUGGAGCUGCCGCCCUGAGCCAGACCCCGAGGCUCUGCAGCGGAGGAAAGGAGCUGGCAUCUGGCUUUGAGUGGAGGACAUUAGGUGAUGGAGGAGAAGUGAGGCCUGGGAUUUAGGAGGCGGGGGAGCAGUGGGCAGAACAAGAAAGAAAAGAAAUGGGGCCGGGGCUGGAGAGAGAUGUGGAGCCAAAGAACGGGUAGAGAGUUAGGGAGGGGCUGUUUCCUUUGCUAGGUGUCCUCCGCAGUCCAGACCCUGAGCUGCUCAGCGCGGGCUCCCUCGUUAGCCCCGCUACUCGGCUAGCCCCACCCUUGUUAUUUCCCUAUUCCGAUCCUCUUUCCCAAUUGAGGGCCCCCUUCCCCCUCUCUUCUUUCCCAGCUCUCCCCUCCCCCAUCUGCCCGCCUUCCACCCAGUCCCCGCCCGCGGCACUGCGGUUUCUCUACCUUGGCGCCCCGCACCCAGCCCGCCGCGAGGUCACCGAGCUGAGAUCCCCUCUGGCUGUCCACCCUCCACCCUCUCGCCUAUUCCCUCGCCUCCCCACCCUUGAGAGCUGGGUAUGGGGUCCUCUGGGUGGAGAGCAGCGCCAAAGGUCGCACUUGGGGUCCUUCCCCAGGUUCUCCCGCGGCGCUGCAGCCGCGGACAACCGCCCGCCAGUGGGCGAAAGCCUGCGGGAGGCUUCCCUCAGAGGCGAGUCUUCAGAAAUCUCUGGGAAAACCGGCGCAUAAAGAGUGCAGAAGCCGGAUUUGCCACACUUCCGAGUUAUCUCCUCCCGAGCCUCCAGUGAGAUGUUUUGGGGUUGGAAUAUCCCGGGCCUUUCUCCAAGGAGGCCGAAGACAGAAGGAAUGUUGCCUUCCACCAAGCACGGUGCUCACAACAGACAUGGUCACACUACCUCUUCAACCCAUCCCACCUCCAUCUGGCUCCCUGGCUGGAGAUCUCUUUCAUGUGCGGCCGCUGCUAUGUGAUGCCAUCUGCCACAUUAUGAGGUAGCCAGAAAGCCCUUGCCAGAUGCUGACCAGAUGCAGCCCCAAACUUGGACUUUCAGCUUCUAACACUGAUGUGAGCAGAGCUACUUUCCCAUCUUUAGGGGAAAAAAUACAGGCAGAGAUCCUGCAGCUGUCUGAGGCCACCUCCACCACAAACUUCCUUAGUCAGCAGCACUGCUCCCAUCUUCAGCAACACUGGUCUGUAAAAACGCUGCUAUGAUGCCCUCGAUUCCUCCCUGGAAAGAGGCUGCUGGCCCCCAGUGCCCCUUGCCAGCUGGUUUCAGCCAACAGUGUUGCAGCACGUGGCACAACGUCCUGCAGCUACGCGGGCCUGCCGUGCCAAGUGCACUGUGUGGGACGGCGUUGGAGUUUCAGUUUCUCUGGUCAAGAGCGUGGGGAGCAACCCAAGAGCUCACAUGACGG